CCCAAGAUAUCAACUCCUAUACUAUGGAUGAUAACUACUUUUCCUAACUAUUCAUCCAUUCUAUCUGCUGAACCACCUUUUCAGUAGUUAUCUAUCCUUGUUUAUACUAUACACUAGAUAUCUACAUUCUGAAAAUAAUUACUUAUUCUACAAGUGUGUUUUCUUUUUUUUAUCCAAGCUUCUUAUUUCUCUCCAAAUUUAUGCUCUAAUAGAAACUUGGAUUUCAUAUUUUCCUAAAUAAUUCAAUUCUAUUCUUUAAUUCGGCAGCUUUGCUCCAAUAUUUUAUUCUUACUUGUUUCUAAUUGUUGCUUUAAAUUUCUCUCUCCAUCCAAUUUACUCAUCAUGAGCUCUAAUUGAAAAAUCUGAGUCGAUAAAACUUCCUUGAGAUUCACUCCU
This 396-nucleotide long non-coding RNA is filed under the name Physcomitrium patens. RNAcentral describes it as "long non-coding RNA (PPAT_LNC014245)". The record is from RNAcentral. Lineage: Eukaryota; Viridiplantae; Streptophyta; Bryopsida; Funariales; Funariaceae.